UACGGAAGGGGCGAGCGUUGUUCGGAAUCAUUGGGCGUAAAGGGCGCGUAGGUGGUUCUGUAUGUCUACCGUGAAAGCCCACGGCUCAACCGUGGAGGGUCAUUGGAAACUGGGGGACUUGAGUGCAGAAGAGGAAAGUGGAAUUCCACGUGUAGCGGUGAAAUGCGUAGAGAUGUGGAGGAACACCAGUGGCGAAGGCGACUUUCUGGUCUGUAACUGACGCUGAGGCGCGAAAGCGUGGGGAGCAAACAGG
RNAcentral lists this ribosomal RNA (253 nucleotides) under uncultured bacterium. Its description in RNAcentral is "partial 16S ribosomal RNA". It matches the Rfam family "Bacterial small subunit ribosomal RNA", at positions 524 to 776 of the family's 1533-position model. The record is from RNAcentral.